RNAcentral lists this ribosomal RNA (1755 nucleotides) under Patescibacteria group bacterium. Its description in RNAcentral is "bacterial SSU rRNA". It matches the Rfam family "Bacterial small subunit ribosomal RNA". The record is from RNAcentral.
UUAUUUGAGAGUUUGAUCCUGGCUCAGGAUGAACGCUGGCGGCGUGUCUAAGGCAUGCAAGUCGAAUGCCCUCACCUCACUUUGUUCGGUUCGGAAGAAACAAGUUACAACUAACAAGAUACAAACAAAUAUCAAAUCUCAAAUUCCAAUAAUCAAACGUUUAUAAUAAUGUUUUGGAAUUUGUAAAUUGAAAUUUGAAAUUUGUUUGUUACUUGUAUUUUGUGUCUUGUAAUUUCACCGAGCACAGCGAGGUGUGGGCAUGGCAGACGGGUGAGUAACACAUUGGUAACCUACCUCUAACCCGGGCAUAACCCACCGAAAGGUGGAAUAAUUCCCGAUAGUCAUGGGGGGACAUAAGUCAUUCCCAUGUAAAAUUCCGGUGGUUAGAGAGGGGCCUAUGGCCCAUCAGCUUGUUGGUAAGGUAACGGCUUACCAAGGCUCCGACGGGUAGCGGGUGUGAGAGCAUGGCCCGCCUCACUGGGACUGAAACACUGCCCAGACUCCUACGGGAGGCUGCAGUCGAGAAUCUUCCGCAAUGGCCGAAAGGCUGACGGAGCGACGCCGCGUGUAGGAAGACGCCCUUCGGGGUGUAAACUACUUUUCUCAGGGACGAAUUCGUGACGGUACCUGAGGAAUAAGCCACUGCUAAUCACGUGCCAGCAGCAGCGGUAAUACGUGAGUGGCAAGCGUUAUCCGGAUUUAUUGGGUGUAAAGCGUCCCUAGGCGGCUUAAUAAGUUUUUAGUAAAAUCUCCGGGCCUAACCCAGAGUCUGCUAAAAAAACUAUUAGGCUAGAGACCGGGAGAGGUCAGCGGAAUGGCCGGUGUAGUAGUUAAAUGCGUUAAUAUCGGCUAGAACACCAAUAGCGAAGGCAGCUGACUAGAACGGUUCUGACGCUCAUAGGACGAAAGCGUGGGUAGCGAAUGGGAUUAGAUACCCCAGUAGUCCACGCUGUAAACGAUGGGCACUGAACAUUGGAAGUAUCGACCCUUUCAGUGUUGUUGACUUAAGCUAACGCGUUAAGUGCCCCACCUGGGGAGUACGGCCGCAAGGCUAAAACUCAAAGGAAUUGACGGGAGUCCGCACAAGCGGUGGAGCAUGUGGUUUAAUUCGAUUCUAAGCGAGGAACCUUACCAGGGUUUGACAUCCCGAGAACCCUCGAGAAAUCGAGGGGUGCCCCGCCAAAAUCAUCAAGCCGAUUUUUCGGUUUACUUCAGAUAGUCAACCUUUUUGGUUGUAAAUUUGGAGUGAAGCAAAUUGGUGAUUUAGGCGGGGAGCUCGGUGACAGGUGCUGCAUGGUUGUCGUCAGCUCGUGUCGUGAGAUGUCAGGUUAAGUCCUUUAACGAGCGCAACCCCUACUUUGUGUUAAAUUGUUCACAAAGAACUGCCUCGGUUAACGAGGAGGAAGGCGGGGAUGACGUCAAAUCAGCAUGGCUCUUACGCCCUGGGCUACACACGUGCUACAAUGGCGAGUACAAAGGGUGGCAAAAUCGCAAGAUGAAGCUAAUCCCAACAAAACUCGUCUCAGUUCGGAUUGAGGUCUGCAACUCGACCUCAUGAAGCUGGAAUCGCUAGUAACCGUGAAUCAGCCACGUCACGGUGAAUACGUUCUCGGACUUUGUACACACCGCCCGUCACGUCAAGAGAGUCGGUAGUACCCGAAAGCUGACAUUAGUUGGACUAAGGUAAGAUCGAUGAUAGGGACGAAGUCGUAACAAGGCAUCCGUAGCGGAAGCUGUGGAUGGAUCACCUCCUUU